CAGCCGCCGCGGUAAUACAGAGGGUGCGAGCGUUAAUCGGAUUUGCUGGGCGUAAAGCGUGCGUAGGCGGCUUCUUAAGUCGGAUGUGAAAUCCCUGAGCUUAACUUAGGAAUUGCAUUCGAUACUGGGAAGCUAGAGUAUGGGAGAGGAUGGUAGAAUUCCAGGUGUAGCGGUGAAAUGCGUAGAGAUCUGGAGGAAUACCGAUGGCGAAGGCAGCCAUCUGGCCUAAUACUGACGCUGAGGUACGAAAGCAUGGGGAGCAAACAGGAUUAGAUACCCGUGUAGUCCCUGUCUCUUAUAC
Molecule: ribosomal RNA, 301 nt
Filed under: uncultured bacterium
Lineage: Bacteria
Description: partial 16S ribosomal RNA
Rfam family: Bacterial small subunit ribosomal RNA
Source: RNAcentral